RNAcentral lists this ribosomal RNA (323 nucleotides) under Symbiodinium sp. CCMP2430. RNAcentral describes it as "partial Bacterial small subunit ribosomal RNA". It matches the Rfam family "Bacterial small subunit ribosomal RNA", at positions 1 to 355 of the family's 1533-position model. Lineage: Eukaryota; Dinophyceae; Suessiales; Symbiodiniaceae. The record is from RNAcentral.
GUGGAGAGUUUGAUCCUGGCUCAGAUUGAACGCUGGCGGCAGGCCUAACACAUGCAAGUCGAGCGAGACCUUCGGGUCUAGCGGCGGACGGGUUAGUAACGCGUGGGAACGUGCCCUUCUCUACGGAAUAGCCUCGGGAAACUGAGAGUAAUACCGUAUACGCCCUUUGGGGGAAAGAUUUAUCGGAGAAGGAUCGGCCCGCGUUAGAUUAGAUAGUUGGUGGGGUAAUGGCCUACCAAGUCUACGAUCUAUAGCUGGUUUGAGAGGAUGAUCAGCAACACUGGGACUGAGACACGGCCCAGACUCCUACGGGAGGCAGCAGU